GACGAACGCUGGCGGCGUGCCUAAUACAUGCAAGUCGAACGCUUCUUCCCUCCCGAGUGCUUGCACUCAAUUGGAAAGAGGAGUGGCGGACGGGUGAGUAACACGUGGGUAACCUACCCAUGAGAGGGGGAUAACACUUGGAAACAGGUGCUAAUACCGCAAAAAAGUUUAUGCCGCAUGGUAUAAGAGUGAAACGCGCUUUCGGGUGUCGCGGAUGGAGGGAGGCGCGGUGCAUUAGCUAGUUGGUGAGGUAUCGGCUCACCAAGGCCACGAUGCAUAGCCGACCUAAGAGGGUGAUCGGCCACACUGGGACUGAGACACGGCCCAGACUCCUACGGGAGGCAGCAGUAGGGAAUCUUCGGCAAUGGACGGAAGUCUGACCGAGUAACGCCGCGUGAAUGAAGAAGGUUUUCGGAUCGUAAAACUCUGUUGUUAGAGAAGAACAAGGACGUUAGUAACUGAACGUCCCCUGACGGUAUCUAACCAGAAAGCCACGGCUAACUACGUGCCAGCCGCCGCGGUAA
This 524-nucleotide ribosomal RNA is filed under the name uncultured bacterium. Its description in RNAcentral is "partial 16S ribosomal RNA". It matches the Rfam family "Bacterial small subunit ribosomal RNA", at positions 28 to 523 of the family's 1533-position model. The record is from RNAcentral.